GUUAAGCGACUAAGCGUACACGGUGGAUGCCCUGGCAGUCAGAGGCGAUGAAGGGCGUGCUAAUCUGCGAUAAGCGCCGGUAAGGUGAUAUGAACCGUUAUAACCGGCGAUACCCGAAUGGGGAAACCCAGUGUGACUCGUCACACUAUCAUUAACUGAAUCCAUAGGUUAAUGAGGCGAACCGGGGGAACUGAAACAUCUAAGUACCCCGAGGAAAAGAAAUCAACCGAGAUUCCCCCAGUAGCGGCGAGCGAACGGGGAGGAGCCCAGAGCCUGAAUCAGCAUGUGUGUUAGUGGAAGCGUCUGGAAAGGCGCGCGAUACAGGGUGACAGCCCCGUACACAAAAGCGCAUGUGCUGUGAGCUCGAUGAGUAGGGCGGGACACGUGGUAUCCUGUCUGAAUAUGGGGGGACCAUCCUCCAAGGCUAAAUACUCCUGACUGACCGAUAGUGAACCAGUACCGUGAGGGAAAGGCGAAAAGAACCCCGGCGAGGGGAGUGAAAAAGAACCUGAAACCGUGUACGUACAAGCAGUGGGAGCCCCACCACUAAGCCAGUGGUGAACUCCACAUACGCAUCCUUUGCUGAGGAUGCGGUUAACGGAGCGAAAGCGACGUUCAACCGCAAAAGAAGCAGAGGGGGCUUAGUGGUGGGGUGACUGCGUACCUUUUGUAUAAUGGGUCAGCGACUUAUAUUCUGUAGCAAGGUUAACCGAAUAGGGGAGCCGGAGGGAAACCGAGUCUUAAUUGGGCGUUAAGUUGCAGGGUAUAGACCCGAAACCCGGUGAUCUAGCCAUGGGCAGGUUGAAGGUUGGGUAACACUAACUGGAGGACCGAACCGACUAAUGUUGAAAAAUUAGCGGAUGACCUGUGGCUGGGGGUGAAAGGCCAAUCAAACCGGGAGAUAGCUGGUUCUCCCCGAAAGCUAUUUAGGUAGCGCCUCGUGAAUUCAUCUCCGGGGGUAGAGCACUGUUUCGGCUAGGGGGCCAUCCCGGCUUACCAACCCGAUGCAAACUGCGAAUACCGGAGAAUGUUAUCACGGGAGACACACGGCGGGUGCUAACGUCCGUCGUGAAGAGGGAAACAACCCAGACCGCCAGCUAAGGUCCCAAAGUCAUGGUUAAGUGGGAAACGAUGUGGGAAGGCCCAGACAGCCAGGAUGUUGGCUUAGAAGCAGCCAUCAUUUAAAGAAAGCGUAAUAGCUCACUGGUCGAGUCGGCCUGCGCGGAAGAUGUAACGGGGCUAAACCAUG
Molecule: ribosomal RNA, 1249 nt
Filed under: Salmonella enterica subsp. enterica serovar Welikade
Lineage: Bacteria; Pseudomonadati; Pseudomonadota; Gammaproteobacteria; Enterobacterales; Enterobacteriaceae
Description: partial 23S ribosomal RNA
Rfam family: Bacterial large subunit ribosomal RNA
Source: RNAcentral